Molecule: ribosomal RNA, 254 nt
Filed under: uncultured bacterium
Lineage: Bacteria
Description: partial 16S ribosomal RNA
Rfam family: Bacterial small subunit ribosomal RNA
Source: RNAcentral
UACGUAGGGGCCGAGCGUUGUCCGGAGUUAUUGGGCGUAAAGCGCGCGCAGGCGGCUUCGCGCGUCCGACGUGAAAGCCCCCCGGCUCAACCGGGGAGGGUCGUUGGGUACGGCGGAGCUUGAGGGCGGUAGAGGUUGGUGGAAUUCCCGGUGUAGUGGUGAAAUGCGUAGAGAUCGGGAGGAACACCUGUGGCGAAGGCGGCCAACUGGGCCGACCCUGACGCUGAGGCGCGAAGGCGUGGGGAGCGAACGGG